AGUGAACGCUGGCGGCAGGCCUAAUACAUGCAAGUCGAACGGCAGCACAGCAGAGCUUGCUCUGUGGGUGGCGAGUGGCGGACGGGUGGGAAUACGUGGGAAUCUGCCCAGUCGUGGGGGAUAACGUAGGGAAACUUACGCUAAUACCGCAUGCGCCCUUCGGGGAAAGCCGGGGACCUUCGGGCCUGGCGCGAUUGGAUGAGCCCACGUCGGAUUAGCUAGUUGGCGGGGUAAAGGCCCACCAAGGCGACGAUCCGUAGCUGGUCUGAGAGGAUGAUCAGCCACACUGGAACUGAGACACGGUCCAGACUCCUACGGGAGGCAGCAGUAGGGAAUAUUGGACAAUGGGCGCAAGCCUGAUCCAGCCAUGCCGCGUGAGUGAAGAAGGCCCUCGGGUUGUAAAGCUCUUUUGUCCGGAAAGAAAGCGCCGGGUUAAUACCCUGGUGUCCUGACGGUACC
RNAcentral lists this ribosomal RNA (459 nucleotides) under uncultured bacterium. RNAcentral describes it as "bacterial SSU rRNA". It matches the Rfam family "Bacterial small subunit ribosomal RNA", at positions 28 to 479 of the family's 1533-position model. The record is from RNAcentral.